GGAGCCCCACCUAGGAUCACUGAGGAGAGUCAGGCCUCGAGGGCUGUGGUGGGCUCAGCGGGAGAACACUCACCUAGUAAGUUCAUUCUUUCACUAAAGCUGUAACAGAGAAGAGCCGGUGUGCAGCACCUUGCACGGGAUCCGACAUCUAUUGGGCUCAGCUCCAGCCCUGUCAUCUGGUUGGCCUGGACCUAGAGCAUGCUGGCCCUGCCACAUGGGGUGAUUGACUAGGUGUGAGCAGGCCCAAUGGAGAAGGGCACUGCAUUCCCUCCCCUUGUCAGGCUUGUUCAAGGAACAUGGAGAGAUACGCCAUUUCCAAGCCCACCAGCAACAUUCCAGUCUCUCUACACCUUUUCUGAUAAGUUAUGGGCAGCCUUUUCAGUGAUGGCCACCCAGAUCAGCAGAUCUGGUAUGGACUCAGCUGUCCAUGGUGCUAUGCCUGCUCAGAGCAGUUUGCCCCGCUGGAGCCUCAGCAGAGGGGUGUCUCUUGUACAUUUCCUGGACCCCUUUCUCCUGCUUGUGGAUUUCCUCAUCUGCCCCAGAACCCUGAGCUUGGGAGCCACCUGGAUAGGGCGCCUGGGUUUGCUAAAACACUUUGAAGGUGGGUCUGUCACUCUGACCUGGCCACUCUGUGCUUUCCUCUCACCACUCCACACUUGGCCUCAGGAAGUUUCCAGACACUUCCCCUCUAGCCUCCUCAGACCCCACCAUUACCCACUCCAGCAAGCUGUGAUCUCCAGGACCGCAUGCCACGAUGCUAUCUACUUACCGACUUUUAGAAGUUGUGACAGCUUCAGGGAAGCACACCACCAACUUCAUCCGGAAGAUGAGUCACUUCCUCCCUCAUGGACUGCGAGUCUGAGGGUAGAAGGCAGGAAUAGCAGUGACCCACAGCUGCAGAGGCUUAUGGGAUGCUCACUCAGAGGGCCUGGCUCACACGGCACUUCUGGAAAGGCCAGCCUGACGUUAGGGCUAAGGCUGGGCUAGGCAGGAUCCUUCUUUGCUGCUGCUAUGGGGAGAGGGAGGAGAGGACCUGGACCAGCAUCCUUGCAUCCCUCACAGCUGUUUAUCCAGGGUUCUGUCAGCUUGCGUCUGGAGAUUCCCCUACAGCCGUCACUCCAGAGCAUGCCCUCCAUUCAGCACACAAGGUCUCUUCGGUUCUAGAACACAUGUCAAGUGUUCUGGGUGAUGCUGGCCUUAUGCAAAUGCUAUCCUCUCUUCGAUAUGUAGAGAGAGCAUACUGUGUGGCCCUAGCAAGGGAAGAGACCAGGUCUCAGGUCUUUCAAAUGAAGUGGCCUCCCAAAGGCAAGGGCAGGGUAGAUUUCCCCAGAAAAUAGGAGAGGGUAUGAGGUCUCUCGCUCACCACAGCACAUCCCAGGCUAGCUGGCUUGAGAGCUUACGAGGACCCUCCUCUUUCUGCUCUCAUGUCGCCAUAGAAGUGCUGAAUUAAAGAUCUGCCCUGUGGUGCCAGGCUUUACACGUGCUCUGGAGAUCCACAUUCAGGUCCUCAUGCUUACAUCACAAGCGUGUUACCCACUGAGCCAUCUCCCUAGCCCUGAAGUCUCCUGAAUGCGAGAUGGGAAACCACCUUUAAGAUCUGGUCAUCAAGGGGAGGUGGUUUUGCAUAAACAAGCCAACCUAGUCUUCAGAGCAAUUUAGGCCUGAGCUCAGCUAAUGACCAGCCACAUGGCAGUGGGUGGUUAUUUAGUGUUUUCUAAGCUUCUGUCUCCUUGCUGUAAAAUGAAUGUGUUGCCAGGUGUCUCCCUGUACACCUGAAAUCCUAGCUCUCAGGAGUUUGAGGUAAGACUCUCACUUUAAGUUCGAGGCCAGUCUAGACUAUGUAACAAGCUUGAGGCAAGUUUGGGCUACAUUGUGAGAUCCUGACUCACAAAUCACCCAAAAUAAGCCAAAUAUUAAAAAUGGACGCAUCGAUGAAGACUUACAUCACAGUACAUCCGGCACUGUUCUCAGUACAGGGAUUGGCUCAGCCAAUGCUCCCAACAACCUAUUAGAAUCUCCAGUUUCUAGAUGAGGAAGCAGAGACACAGAGGAACUAAAGCAUUUGUUCAAGGUCACAGAGCUGGCAAGGGACAGGUCAAGAUCAGAGCCCAGGCCAUAUCCCUAGUCAGAUCUCUGAGUCAGAGGCCAGUCAUGAACUUGGUCCACAGCCAUUAGUCCCCAUGCCUUGGGUUGGACCACUUGCUCCACUGAAGACUGUCUGGGUGGUCUUGGCUGGUCGCUUGCCUUGUCAAAUCUCAGUUCUCCCCAUAUAACAGAAACCAUUCGAACCCCAACUAGUGACUCCAAGGUUCUUGCUCCCGCUCAGCCCCUUCCUGAACUGUGCAUCUCCUUGCUCUGUGGAGAGACCUCAGGCACACGAGGCUCACAUGGAAACUGAUCUUUCACACGUGAAGCGCCAAGUCCAAUCAGAACCAGACCUAUCUCUCACCAGUGUGUCUCCCCUCAGCCUGUGGGGCAAUGUCCUUCCCCUUCCUGUCUGUUCCUGCCCCACCUUUCACCCAGAGUUCACUCCAACUGCUUUCUGGACCCUUGUCUUGCUGUCUCUUUGCUUUAAUUCCAUUGUCCCUGACCCCAGUCUGUCCUCCACACCCUGCCACAGAUCCUUCCAAGCCCCCAACUUCCUGUGCCUAGCCUUCUCCACGGAGUAACACCCAAUGUUCAUCACAUCCAAAGCCAAACCUCCCUCCCGGACUCACUGAAGCGCCACGUACCCCGUCUCCACUUCUGAGCCGGAGCGUUUCCUCUGAUCUAAUGCCCGUCUCAAAUCCUUCACUGGUCCCCCAAGCUCCCAGACAACUAAUGUUUCCUGAGCUCCUGGAAGAACAGGGGUUCAUGUUCUGUUCCCAGGUCCUUGACUAAAGAGCACCUCACGGUCUGGCUCCAUUGCAGAGCCUCCUGAGCCAAUUCCUCUGCCUUCUCUCUGGGUCCAAUAGGGUUUGCAUGCCUCUUCCUCAUCUAAGACCUUAGGGUAAGGAUAGAGGAACCCUAGGGUCACCUAUCACAGGGCAGCAUAAUCCUAAAGAAAAACAAGUCAGGAAUCUCAGCCUCUCCAGAACAAAGCCUCAGAGGGAGGGGUGUGCAUUGUGUGUGCAUGUGCGUGUGAGUUUACAUGUGUGUAGUGGUGUGAGGGCUGCCCAGCUGGCUGCUCAGUUACUCAUUCAGUCACAGCAUCUCACCACAGUUUUACUUAAGCCAACAUGGAUUGUCUGAUCAUCCUCAUUAAAAGGUAAACCAAGGCAGAGAGCACAGCCACCUACCCAGGGUGCACAGCUGCUUGGUGGCUGGUGUUCAGACCCAAGCCAGGUGCAUUUAGCCCCAGAGACAGAUGGGCUUCUGCUCUGGUCACACUGACUCUUGGUGGAAGCGAGGAUGACACUAGAGGCCCUGACCUGUGUGCUGAGUUUGGUCUGUUCCGCAGAGCGCUGAGGACCUCCUGCUUGUGGCUGGGAAGGCGCCCAGGCUCUCCUGAGGUGUAUUUUUAACUCCUCUUCUUCCUUGACACUUUCCUUUUCCAGCCCGUCAUGUCUGUCAGAGCCUCACACCUCUAAGGGGGUGGAGGUGAUGGAGAGGAGCAGUGGCAGCUAGACAGGGAGAGACAGCCUGUCACCAUUCUCAACUCCACCCCCAGAGCAGAGUGGUGUCCAGGCACAGGGCACAGGCAGCUGGCCAGCCAGCCUGUUUGGGCUGAGGGCUGCUCUAUUUUUCUCUUCUC
Mus musculus (house mouse) is the source of this 3733-nucleotide long non-coding RNA. RefSeq annotates it as predicted gene, 34280. Lineage: Eukaryota; Metazoa; Chordata; Mammalia; Rodentia; Muridae. The transcript is spliced from 5 exons. The record is from RefSeq and is a predicted model, not a curated record.